UUAUGGCCAUAUCACUUUGAAACACCAGUUCCCACAUGAUCACUGAAGUUAAGCAAAAUCUAGCCUGGUCACUACCUAGAUGGGUGACUGCUUGUGAAUACCAGGUGCUGUAAG
Molecule: ribosomal RNA, 114 nt
Filed under: Acanthosepion pharaonis
Lineage: Eukaryota; Metazoa; Mollusca; Cephalopoda; Sepiida; Sepiidae
Source: RNAcentral